Molecule: RNA transcript, 2869 nt
Organism: Sorghum bicolor (sorghum)
Lineage: Eukaryota; Viridiplantae; Streptophyta; Magnoliopsida; Poales; Poaceae
Exons: 7
Source: RefSeq, a predicted model, not a curated record
CACCCCCCCCCCCCCCCCCCCACCUCUUUCAUCUCCAGCAGUCGUCCUCUUCUUUGCAUCCAUAUACCCAUCAAAACAAGAAGACGAUGAGGAGGAAGAAGAGGCUCUUGCCGAGUCUUCUCAAGUGCCAUGGUCAUCAUCGGGGAUCGGCCCGGCCGGUUGUCUGGCCUCUCCGGUUGACCUUUGCCAGGAAGAUGGGUUGCACGGCCCGUCGGUCGGGCUGUACAGCCAGCAGCAGGGCGGCCUUCCGGCUUCCGAUCCAUCCAUCAGGGUCCUCUAUGGUGGAUCAAAACCCAACAAGAAGGCCUCAGGGAGAUUUAUCGUUGGGCAAACCGAGACGAAGUCCCGAACCUAAACCCUACUCAGAAGCCAGCCAAUGCCAUCGGUGGCGGCGGCGGGUGCCAUGGCCGUGGCGGCCGCGGCGGCUGGGUUCACGGCCGCGGAGUGGGAGGCGGUGACCGGGUCCGUGGCCCUGGAGGCGGUGACCGGGUCCGCGGUCGUGGAGGCGGUCACCUGGUCCGCGGCCGCGGAUUUGGGGCUCAAAGUACUGGCGGCUGGGGCCGCGUCCAUGGUCGCUGCCACGGUCAAGGAGUGGGGGACGUCUAAUGCUGCCGGGCCCAUGGCCGCGAAGUUGGCCGUGGCGGCCAGGGCCGCGGGUGCUGGUCCUGUGGCGCGCGAGUGGGAGGCGGCGCCGCGGAAGACUUUGGUUGUGCGGAAGCCAGGCUUCCGACUCCCCACCGCUUGCCCGAUGUGCCUAACCGUACUUCUCUACCUCAGAAUGGCUGAUGUUCCCUUCGACCUCGAAGUGGACACCUGCAACCCAAACGCAGAGCAAAUACCGUAUGUUGAAUUUGGAGAUUGUGUGGCUUUGAACAAUGAGGGCGGAGGGGUGAUUCAAUAUCUUAGGGAUACCAGCAUUCUUGACUUAAACUCCAUGCAGCCAACUGAUUACACAAUCAGCCUCUGUUGAGCGCACAAAGGUCAUGGUUUCGACCUGGCUUGCUGAUGCCCUGCAGUAUGAACUGUGGGUAGUUAGUGAUGGAAGCAUUGCAAAUGAUAUCUACUUCUCUGAUAUCGCUUGGCCAAUUCGGAAGAUUCUUCACUGGAAGGGGCUAAGAGAUGAAAAACGUGAUCUAUGUUCGAGGUUGAAUAGGUCAACUGCUGAUUUGGGACAAGAGAUUUAUUGGAGGGCAGAGGCUGUUUAUGAUAUGUUGUCUGAAACAUUAACUAAGGAUGAAGUGUACCUCUUUGGGAACAGUCCUAAAGAUGUAGAUGCUCUGGUUUUGGGACACGCUCUUUUUGUGCUCAACGUGUUGCCUGAGACAUCUGUGUUGAGGGCUACACUACAGAAGCAUGCUAGGCUGGUAAAAUAUGCUGAACAUCAUUUGUUCGUCUUGCUGGGGGUGCCAUCCGGAAGUUUCUCAAGAACCCUACCGUAUGUAGCCUAUGACCUGUGUGUCAUGUCUGGACAAGUACACUGUGAACAUUACAUUGACUUGAAGGUGUACAAGCUGAAGUACCACAUGCUCGUUCCAAAAGUUGUUCUCGUAGGGCUGGAUGAAGAUGGAUGUAAUCCAUUGCCCGGGGAAACUGAAGACCCUAAAAGCUUUACCAUUGCCAGCGAACGCUGCAAGAAAUGUAUCAGGACUAUGCUCAAGGGCCUUGUUAUCAAUGAAGCGUUGCAAAUCUGUUUUGAGGAUUUCACUGAAGAUAAUAUUGUACUUACUGAAACAGGAAAAGUGAAAUUCAAGAAUGUCACCAUUAUCAGUUGUCUUCGCAGAGGUCCAGAAUUCAAGAGGCGUCUCCAUAGAAACUUCAAGUGUGCUGCUAACAUUAUUCGAGAUCUCUUCAAGCUUAUUACUCCAACUGGUAUACAGUACAACAUUCCUGAAGAUAUCUUGCACCUGCUCAAUGUAAUUGAGAGGGAAUUCGAGUCCAGGUCAAUGUUUCCAGUUCAUGCCUCGUUGGUUCCUUUGACGCAGUGCUCAUUUUUCUUCCAAAAGAUGUAUGAGACCAUCAGAUCUGUGUUAUCAUUUGAGGAGUUCAGAGCAAUUCUGGAUAAAUUACCAUAUGUGGAUGGCUGGAAGAAAAAAGUUAUGAACAAUGCCUUGCUCAGUUACCCUAUCAAUAGAAGACCUGAGAGUUAUGAGGUACCACAAAACAAACCAGAUCAGCGGAACCUGAAUAAAUACCAGAAAGGUUGCUUAAAUGAUUUGGGGAUCAAUCCACCUAGGAACCAAAGUGUGUUGAGUAAUGAGCAGGAAGAGAUGAUCAAACAACUGAGGCUGAUCGAUUAUUGGAGAAAUCGAACUGUACACAGAAUGGAGCCGUACAGGUCUUAUACCAAGGAGAGCACCGAGGAGGGCGAGGAUGCACCACGCAAUGCGCCUUACAAGGCGGAGGGCUCUGAACUCGUCAACUAUGUGAGGUUUCCAAUGGCACCAACUUACCUUCAGUGGGAGCUGAUAAAGAGGCGGGAAGCUGAUGGUCAUGUUGUUUGGGAAAGCUUUUUCUAGGCUUAAUUCUGUCAUCAGUAGAUCACACGUAAUGCUCUACUUGUGCCCCAGUUGGCACCAACUUACCUUCAGUGGGAGCUGAUAAAGAGGCGGGAACCUGAUGGUCAUGUUGUUUGGGAAAGCUUUUUCUAGGCUUAAUUCUGUCAUCAGUAGAUCACACGUAAUGCUCUACUUGUGCCCCAGUUAUCUUGUAGUACUGUUUAACUUCUGACAAAAAAAUUGGUUUCCUUGUGGAGCUGCUUUCAGAUGGCAUGAGCAACAAGCGCUGCUUGCUAGGCAUAAAACACGUCUCAGUACUGUCAUUCAUUCUUGUCCAUAAAUAUUAACCUGCUCAAGUGGUUUCCCAUUCUGCA